Cyclopterus lumpus (lumpfish) is the source of this 558-nucleotide long non-coding RNA. RefSeq lists it as uncharacterized. NCBI's taxonomy places the organism in Eukaryota, Metazoa, Chordata, Actinopteri, Perciformes, Cyclopteridae. The record is from RefSeq and is a predicted model, not a curated record. The transcript has 3 exons.
AGUUUAGCUGAGGAUUUACAAUAUUUAUUUGUUAACAGUUGGUGAGUUAAUAUUGCUGCUUUGAAAUCCCAAAGUAACAAUAGGUGACGUCGACACGCAAGUGUCUUCGUCAACAUUUCGCCGUUUAAUGGGUUAAACGGCAAAAAUCCGUCUCAACAUGUUUUGUCUAAUUUCUAUGUCGUCACUUCCGUUCCGGGCUGCGCUUCAUCAGUCGUAAUUAGCAGAAAGCCAAAGGCACUGUUCUCUGCAGUCUGGAUGAGGCACACUGAGGCCUGAGAACCAUAACGGCCACUCAAGGUCAUAAACUGCGAGGAUAGAGGAUGUGUUGUUGGAAGGGAGAAGCUCCAGGCUGUGCUGCUCACAACUUUAAUGGUGAGAGUCAUCUGCAAUGUAGCCGCAGCUGAAUCACGUGUCCAACCCGCGGGACCGAGCAUCACGUGGUGAGAGGGACGUCACUCAGAGAGCACCUGACCUUCAACUCAUGGAGGCACACCGCGGCGGACAGUGACACCUUGACGCCCCUCCCCUGGUGGUCUCGCACUUUAAAAGCACGUGACA